UUCAGGCUGAAGGGCGAUCCAUUAAUGUACCCGGCGUUGUGAUUGAGCAUCCAAGAGCCAACCAAAGGAUUAAGUAGUUGACUGACAAAGUCGGUGGUACCACUUCAACUUUCUCAUCCUUGUUUAAGAAGAUCCUGCUGUUGUGAAGCCUAUCAUCCAUCCUUCAGCAAUUUCCCCGUGGUCUUGGAGACCAGGCAUGUUAACUCAUCGUUCAAAGUGUUCUUCUGAAGGUUUGGAACAAACUGAGAAGCAAGUGGAAUAAGUGUGACCCAGACAGGUUGCAGAUGCUGGAGUCUUACUCCUGAAGCUUCCUCUGCAAUGAGAAAAAGCCACCUAACUAGUUCCACCCAAGAAGAUGUUGAAGGGCCAUUUUCAAGAGUCU
Myodes glareolus (Bank vole) is the source of this 382-nucleotide long non-coding RNA. RefSeq lists it as uncharacterized. The record is from RefSeq and is a predicted model, not a curated record. Lineage: Eukaryota; Metazoa; Chordata; Mammalia; Rodentia; Cricetidae.